This 426-nucleotide ribosomal RNA is filed under the name Pluscula cuica. RNAcentral describes it as "partial 16S ribosomal RNA". It matches the Rfam family "Bacterial large subunit ribosomal RNA", at positions 1810 to 2606 of the family's 2925-position model. Lineage: Eukaryota; Metazoa; Mollusca; Gastropoda; Cephalaspidea; Philinoglossidae. The record is from RNAcentral.
AAAACAUAGCCCUGAGAAGUUAUUCUAGGUGAAGCCUGCCCAAAUGAUAGAUUAAAUGGCCGCGGUACUUUGACCGUGCUAAGGUAGCAUAAUUAAUUGACUUUUAAAUGAAGUCUAGAAUGAAAGGAAAAACGGGGUUGAGCUGUGUCUGUUUUAUUAUUUUGAAUUUACUAAUCUGGUGAAAAGGCCAGAACAUGAUAAAAGACGAGAAGACCCUUAGAGUUUGGUGUAGUUUCGUUGGGGCGACGAGGGAUUAGGUAGAUCAUCCUCAUUAGUGAUACGACGAUUUUUUUAUGGUUAGAUAAACUACCUGAGGGAUAACAGCAUAAUCUAUUAAGGUUUGUGACCUCGAUGUUGGACUAGGAAGCUCCCAGGCUAGCCGCUUGGGUGGGGGAUUCUGUUCGAAUUUUUACUCCUACGUGAUCU